UCCCUGGUGGCUCAGACAGUAAAGCAUCUGCCUGCAGUGCAGGAGACCCAGGUUCGAUCCCUGGGUUGGAAA
This 72-nucleotide transfer RNA is filed under the name Capra hircus (goat). It matches the Rfam family "tRNA". Rfam says of the family: Transfer RNA (tRNA) molecules are approximately 80 nucleotides in length. Their secondary structure includes four short double-helical elements and three loops (D, anti-codon, and T loops). Lineage: Eukaryota; Metazoa; Chordata; Mammalia; Artiodactyla; Bovidae. The record is from Rfam by way of RNAcentral. RNAcentral also lists the same sequence under 1 other name.